GAUGAACGCUAGCUACAGGCUUAACACAUGCAAGUCGAGGGGCAGCAUGGUCUUAGCUUGCUAAGGCCGAUGGCGACCGGCGCACGGGUGAGUAACGCGUAUCCAACCUGCCUUACACUCUUGGACAGCCUUCUGAAAGGGAGAUUAAUACAAGAUGUUAUCAUGAGUAAGCAUUUUCGCAUGAUUAAAGGUUUACCGGUGUAAGAUGGGGAUGCGUUCCAUUAGAUAGUAGGCGGGGUAACGGCCCACCUAGUCUUCGAUGGAUAGGGGUUCUGAGAGGAAGGUCCCCCACAUUGGAACUGAGACACGGUCCAAACUCCUACGGGAGGCAGCAGUGAGGAAUAUUGGUCAAUGGACGAGAGUCUGAACCAGCCAAGUAGCGUGAAGGAUGAAGGUUCUAUGGAUUGUAAACUUCUUUUAUACGGGAAUAAACGGAUCCACGCGUGGAUUUCUGCAUGUACCGUAUGAAUAAGGAUCGGCUAACUCCGUGCCAGCAGCCGCGGUAAUACGGAGGAUCCGAGCGUUAUCCGGAUUUAUUGGGUUUAAAGGGAGCGUAGAUGGGUUGUUAAGUCAGUUGUGAAAGUUUGCGGCUCAACCGUAAAAUUGCAAUUGAUACUGGCAGUCUUGAGUACAGUUGAGGUAGGCGGAAUUCGUGGUGUAGCGGUGAAAUGCUUAGAUAUCACGAAGAACUCCGAUUGCGAAGGCAGCUUACUAACCUGUAACUGACAUUGAUGCUCGAAAGUGUGGGUAUCAAACAGG
This 759-nucleotide ribosomal RNA is filed under the name uncultured Bacteroidales bacterium. RNAcentral describes it as "bacterial SSU rRNA". It matches the Rfam family "Bacterial small subunit ribosomal RNA", at positions 28 to 776 of the family's 1533-position model. Lineage: Bacteria; Pseudomonadati; Bacteroidota; Bacteroidia; Bacteroidales. The record is from RNAcentral.